AUGAGGCCCAAGUGGGACACCCCUCUCAACCGGGCCUUGAACGAACUUAAGGGACUCCCUUUGGGCCAGCGGCCGCAAUAUGGUCGUGUGCACGGCACUGGAGAUGGCGCCACGUGGAAGGUGUUUUACAACGAGGGCCCGGAGGCCAAAAAGCAGAAAAAGAAGUUUAGUCAGGCGGACAUCGACGCGAAGGUGAAGCUUGCGGUCGAGAAAAAAGCAGCUGAGGACGCGAAAAAAACAGCCGAGGAGAAAAAUGAGUUGCUACAGCAGGCAGUCAAUGCAGCUAUAACUGCCUGCAGAAAUGAUUUUGCUACUAACUUGGUUCCUGAUACGUCUCCAACGUAUCUAUAA
RNAcentral lists this ribosomal RNA (351 nucleotides) under Triticum aestivum (bread wheat). Its description in RNAcentral is "partial small subunit ribosomal RNA". The record is from RNAcentral. Lineage: Eukaryota; Viridiplantae; Streptophyta; Magnoliopsida; Poales; Poaceae.